UUCAUCUAUCAUAAAUAUCCCAAUCUUUAUUAUAAUCAUAUUUUUGGUCCAGAAUUUGACAUUUUCAUUAUUCAUCACCAAAAUUUGACCCAAGUACACUUUGAUGACCAGUUAUAACAGAUGACCCGAUCCAAAUAAAAGGAAUAUGAAAAGUUUCCUAUAUUUGUAAAAAAAAUCUGAUAUUAGGGCAUAGAGUACAUUGUAGUUUUCACUUCAUCUUUCCAUUUCCUCUAAAGUGGUGGCAUCGAUUCAUCUCUCUCCUUCUCUGGGUGAUUUGCAAACCUAAUCCAUGUUGUUCAAGGUUGAUUGUUGCUCUUACUAUCAUCUGUGCCUCAGGUAGUUAGGGUUUAUCCCCACAACACCAAAGAAAUGCCUAGUUUGAAUCCCUUGGUGCAUUCAAAGGAGUCGGCCCUAUAAGGACACAAUUAAAGGAUCGGUCAAUUGAAGGGAGAGGAGAAAAUUCAUCCUCAAAUUUGCCAUGAGGCAAAGUGAAGGGUACCUAUACAAAGCCGACAUAACAACUAAAAGACUUAGGUAAAAAUCCUCUUCAAACCAUCAAGAGGGAUAUUUUAUAUCAUUCUAUGCCGAGAGGGCCAUUCAAUUUCAUUCUAUUACAGAGAGGGCCAUGACAAGAGGUCUAUUCCAUUUUACUUCAUUGCUAAAAGGGCCAUUAUGUCAUUCAACUAAGUCUCCGUAAUCACUUUCUAUGCAAGACGAUAAGGUCUGGCCUUGGAAGAUGCUUUAUAUCACCUAUAUCUAUUGAUCAUACGAAUAUAACAUGAUCUGGUGUUGAAAAUAUCUCAGCAUUUUAUAUUUGUUGACCAUAAAAAAAAAACGAUAUAGCCCUGCGUCAAGGAUAUAUCAGCAUUUUAAGGAUUAGCAUGCAUCAAUAUGUCAAGAUAAAAAGCACAUAACUUGAAGGGAUGCCUUUAAUUUGCUAUCUAAAAGCAGACAAUGUAUGAGAUUUCCUAAAGAUUGACAAUUCGAGGGUCAUUUAUAAAUCACACUAUUUGAAAUAGGAUAGUGUGUGAGAUUACCUAUGAGUUCAUAUUCCAUAAAUUAUUUGUAAGCCAUAACAAUAUCCUAACUAUAUAGUGUGCAAGGUUACCUAAGAAUUGGUAGUUGGAAGGCUAUCCAUAAGUCGCUACUAAAUACUUACCAGAAAUAUGCGAGAUUACCGAAUUGAUAUGUAUAAGGGUUUUCUAUAAGUCAUGUCAUAUCCAAGAUUGAUUAUGCACAGGAUUACCCAAAUACUAGUAAUUUGAGAGAUAUUUAUAAGAUGUAUUAUAUCCACGGUCAGAUGGUGUGCAAAAAUACCUAAGAGCUAGCGACUCGCAAGAUAUCUGUAAGUCAUCUUUUAUCCAAGGUCAAAUAAUGUGUAAAAUUACCCAAAAAUCUAGAAACUCAAAGAAUAUCUUUAAGUCACCUCAUAUCCAACAUCAAAUGAUGCGCAAUAUUAUCUAAAGAUUGAUAAUUCAAGGGAAAUCUAUAAGUCGUAUCGAUAUGAAAGAUAUGUAAGACUUGACCGAGGUCACAUGUAAAGGAUCAUUGUCAAUAACUGAAGAGGUUAUCAUUCCAUAUGCAAAAAGAACUAUAGUUGACCAAGAGUGUUUCCACAUCAGCAGAAUAUUAAGCGGUUGUAGGGACCGUUCUACCCAAAAUGUCAUUAGUGUCCAAGAGAGCCACCCUACUUUGAAGACAUAUUUAAUUGACAAAAGAGCUAUUUUAUUCAACAACCAAGAGGGUUGUUGUGCUUAUUAUUGCAAGUUAUUACCCUCCAAUAGGCACAUGUGGGGAGGACUUCACUUUUUGAAUAACAACUCACGUGGAGAUAUGGUAAAAAUCUAUAUACCACUUUCGUGAAUUAUGUUUAUUACUAACAAUGUUUGAGAUAUUAUAGAGAGCAUCAGAGAUGAUGAAAAUCUAAAAUCAAAAUCACAGGUGUGGAUGACUCCUAAAAGGAUGCAACAAAACGUGAAUCUUUUUCUUAGUAGCAAAUCAGGACAUAUUCUAGAGAGGGACGUCAAACUUUUUGGACGCGAGAUAAAGGAUGAGUGCCACCACCAUCAAACCACAUCUCUAUUAGACUGCAUGUGGUAUUUUGGGAUAUUCUGGUUUCAAUUAUACUUCUGUGAUAUCUCUAGAUUCAUACUGGAAGUAACCUUCUCUUUCAUUCAAAUUCGAGUGAUAGCACACCUCGAGUUUUGGAAACUAUGUUUGGGUAGAUUCUUACCUAUGGAUGUGAAGAGCUCCACAUUUAUGGUUAAGAGGUUACAAGCCUCUUUUCUGCAACUCAAUCAACUUAUCACUCAUUCUAAGCCAAACAUAGUCUAAAAUAGGAGACUAUUUUUUUUAUCGAUCAAGUCAAACUACAAGAAGUCUGAUUCCUUUAGUCUCACGGAUAUAUAGGUGGGGCUCUAUGUUGAAAACUAGAUUGCAUUCCAACCUUCCCAUAAUCCAUAUAUUCCAUAGCUUCCCAAUUUAACUAGAAUUCAAAAAUUAGAAUAACUUGUGAAUACUUUGAAAAUCGUGCAUAGAGUCAAGCUUUAUGAACUACAAAUAGCCUGAAUUCUCAUGCAACCUAAAAUAUGUUGGAAACUAGAUACAUAGGUCCGGCCAUAAUUCCAUGAAACUCGUGUGAGAUCCAACCUCUUUCAUAAAUAAAUUUAUGAUCGAACAAGAAGUAACAUCAAACUCCCUUUGCCCAGGGUUGCUUACUUCCACCCUACCCAAAGGGAGGGGACAGUUAUUGACACCUAAUUUUUGUCCUCCACAUCUAAGUUUAAUACUAAUUUUCUUCAAUUUUAAAUAAAAUAUUUAUUUUAUUUGAAAAAAAGACUUUUCAAAGUAUUUAUCUAGAUAAUUUUGUCAGUUUAAGUAACAAUUAUAUAUUUUUAUAUUCGCAUAUAUGAAUUCAUAUAAUUUUGUUACUUAAAUAAUUGUUUUACAAAAAAUUAAAUUUUAAUUAAGGAUUUUCUUGAAAAUUAUUUCAAAUAAAAAAAUUAUUUAUUUUUUAUUGAAUCAAGAAGCUCAGGAUUGAAUUGGUUGUUAAUCUAUUUCAAAUGUUGUUUUAAUUUAGUCAAUUUAAUAAAUUGGACCUUAAUUGAAAUCGAUUUGGCCAUAUUACAAUGUAAUUGGUCAAUUGAAUUUUAAUUAGGCUAAAAUUUAAAUGCAAUUGUCUAAAUUUUCCUUUGAUGGCUAUUUGAUAAAUAAAAAAAAAAUAGCCGAAAUCCCUAAAAUUCAUAAAUUCCUAAUUAAGCCCCUCAAUUAAACCCGCCCUAGCGACCUAACAAUAAUAACCCAAUUUCAGCCGACAACUAACAACCAACAACAUCCCAAAAUAUGUUUCCGACCUGGCCCACUCUUUCUUUUGUUCUUCAUAGCAACGAUAAACAAAACAAUGCGUAUACGUACAGCUUCAGUAAUUCGCGACAACGAUAGCAAAAACAACGAUUUCAACAAUGGUAAAACACUAAUCCAGCAAGCCCCUCUAAGUUGUUAAAAUUUUGUAGACAAAUGCGCGUUUGGCAUGAGAGGUUGUACUGGAGAAUCUUCCUAUAAAAUUCCUCAAAUAUUCAAUCCUUAUCCUCUUCUCAAUUUCAAAAUUCAAAUUUGUACUGAAGUAGUACAAAUCAACCUCAUCAAUCUCCUCAAAUUUGUUUCCCCCUCAAAUUUCCCCCAAAAUCAAGAAUGUUCUUGAAUGGAACAGUCGAUGCAAUCCUAUUCGUCAAUGCUACGAACUAGGAUGGAACCCCUCUCAUCAUCCUCCAUCAUCGAGAUUCAUCUUUAGCCAUUUGUUUCAAAGUUUUCCCUAUUAAAAGUCCCAAAAUUUCCCCUGAAUUUUGGUUGUUCCCACAUUGGUGGGACUUCAUAGGUGUGACCCUCCAUUCCUUCUAUAAAAGUCUCACUGUAGAGAUGAAUUUGCAAGCCUUAGAAGGUUGGAAAAAAGCAUUUUGAGCAUAAUGACUUGAAAAUUAUUUUUGAGCAAGAGAAUUUUCAUUAGAAGUUCUGUUAGUUAAAGUUUAGUCAGGUCGAUUUUGAAUUCUCGAUAAUGGUCAAGAUUCUGAUGAUAGCCCAUAGUUCCGUUUUGCUCCCCCAGAAAAGGUAAACACUUUCUAUUUUAGUUUGUUAUAGUCUUUCUUCUUCAAAUACUUGUUCGUAGUUUCAUAAUAAUGUUGUUGGGAUUGUUUAUUGCAGAAGCCUUGAAGGCUUAGGAUUUUUGUGUGGCAAUAAUUGUGUUUUGUCGUUUCUUAUGUUGGAUAAAUAUUAUGGCCGUGUUUAACUCACUGUUUUGGUUGUAUGUUUGAGAAUUUAUGGCUUUAGUUUGACUUUGCUUAUAAGAGAGUUGUUGUGCCUGUUAAUCGCAAAAUUAUCAUCAUAUGAUUAGUUUUAGUAUUAUCAUCAUUUCUUUCGAUUUCAAAUUCUCAUUUUAGCCUAUUAUGUUGCCUUUAGUUUUCUUUGAUUUAAAUGCUAUUUGAUUUACUAUUUCUAUAUCGAUUAAAUAUAUGUUGGCCUUAGAUUUAUCACUGAACACUCUAUCUAAUUAAAAGCCCCCCUUAGUCGUCGUCUCUUCGAUCCGAUUGUUUAAGUUAAGGUUACAUUCAUCGAAUUUUUAGUAUCACUAUCCUUGUUCCACCCCUAUUAUGUCCAUCUUGAUAGUUAUUUGGACUAUUUUACUUUCUUUGAAUAUGUUAGAACUUCUCUUGGUUUAUCUUGAUUUGCAAUAUCGAUAAAAGUAAGUAGAGUAAGUUCAUGAACGAACGAUUCAUUUGAGGAACCCUUUAUGAUCCUUUUAUGCAUAAAUUUCUUCGUGAACUAUUCAGGGAGAGGAGUAGGGUGAUUUAACAUUGACAAAAACCAAUACGUAUUUCGUUCAAGGUCAAAUCUUUAUUUCUAGGUGAAUUUGUUUAAUUUCGCAUGAUAUCAUUUGGAAUAAUAUGUUACCUUUAUGGAUGUCCAGCUUUUCUCUUGUGUUUGCUUGCCAUGAUUGUAUUAUUCUUAAUUACUAGUGAUAAUAGCUACGCUUUGCGCGGUUAGAAAUAACAUUAAUAAAUUUAUAUUAAUAAUAGAUAUUGUCGUAGAUUAUUAUAAAGAAAAUUAUUUGUUUUUACAGAAAGGAUUAAUGAGGGUCAACAAUUAAUUAGCAAUGCAAUAAUUCAAUGAGUAAUAUACAAUUAAAGCCACUGAGAGUUACAAAUGUGGAAGAUGAAGGAACUAUUUUCUAACACCCUCGUCAUCUUCAGUACUUGUUUUGCAGCAUAUCGUUGUUCCUUCAUAUCCUUGUGGACUGUUUAUUCAUCACUGGAAAGAACAAAAAACUCACCUUUAUAAACUUAGAUUCCUCCUGCUCAUUCCACCUAGGAGCAUAUAUUUUCAAGGUAGAAUAAUAGUAUAUCAACUUGCAUAGAUCUAUUAUGUAAUUCUUUUUAAUCCCGUUGUGUCGUUUGUAUGUGUUAUUAUAUAACAUGCAACUUGCUUUAUUACAGUACAGAGACUCCAAUUAACGACUUAUGUUCGUUCACUGUCAUCUCUUAAAUUUUGAAAGGCUGGGUUAUUAUUCGGUGCUAA
Molecule: long non-coding RNA, 5568 nt
Organism: Capsicum annuum
Lineage: Eukaryota; Viridiplantae; Streptophyta; Magnoliopsida; Solanales; Solanaceae
Exons: 4
Source: RefSeq, a predicted model, not a curated record